Pelobates cultripes (western spadefoot toad) is the source of this 216-nucleotide non-coding RNA. Lineage: Eukaryota; Metazoa; Chordata; Amphibia; Anura; Pelobatidae. The record is from the annotation of a GenBank genome assembly.
GCAAAGAGUAGUGGCAGAGCACCCACACAAGACACGGGUCACAACUUGAAUAAAGAGAGAGGCGGAGCAUUCUGCGUCAUUGCCAGUGUCGGAACGUCCUAAGUUAUUGUGUUCAGCAUAGGAAUCCCUAGAUCAGGGGAGAGUGCCCAGAACCGUUGGAGGACGUCUGGUUUGAGGAGCAGGUAUGAUGUACAUUUUGGUGCACUGCUGGUCAAU